Molecule: non-coding RNA, 80 nt
Organism: Armillaria nabsnona
Lineage: Eukaryota; Fungi; Basidiomycota; Agaricomycetes; Agaricales; Physalacriaceae
Source: the annotation of a GenBank genome assembly
UCGGAUAUGGUGUAACGGCUAACAUUGCCGCCUCUCAUUGUUAUUCGCGGCAGCUCGGGGUUCGAUUCCCCGUAUCCGAA